This 2921-nucleotide ribosomal RNA is filed under the name Lactiplantibacillus plantarum. Its description in RNAcentral is "23S ribosomal RNA". It matches the Rfam family "Bacterial large subunit ribosomal RNA". The record is from RNAcentral. Lineage: Bacteria; Bacillati; Bacillota; Bacilli; Lactobacillales; Lactobacillaceae.
GGUUAAGUUAACAAGGGCGCAUGGUGAAUGCCUUGGCACUAGGAGCCGAUGAAGGACGGGACUAACACCGAUAUGCUUCGGGGAGCUGUACGUAAGCUAUGAUCCGGAGAUUUCCGAAUGGGGCAACCCAGCAGUUUUAAUCAACUGUUACCACUAGAUGAAUUCAUAGUCUAGUUGGAGGUAAACGCUGUGAACUGAAACAUCUCAUUAGCAGCAGGAAUAUAAAGAAAUUUCGAUUCCCUAAGUAGCGGCGAGCGAACGGGGAACAGCCCAAACCAAAGUGCUUGCACUUUGGGGUUGUAGGACUGAACAUUUGAGUUACCAAAGAACUUGAUAGUCGAAGGAUUUGGGAAAAUCCGCCAUAGAUGGUGAUAGCCCAGUAGAUUAAAUCAAAUUCUCUCAGUUCAGGAUCCUGAGUACGGCGGAACACGUGAAAUUCCGUCGGAAUCCGGGAGGACCAUCUCCCAAGGCUAAAUACUACCUAGUGACCGAUAGUGAACCAGUACCGUGAGGGAAAGGUGAAAAGCACCCCGGGAGGGGAGUGAAAUAGUUCCUGAAACCAUGUGCCUACAAUAAGUCAGAGCGCGUUAAUGCGUGAUGGCGUGCCUUUUGUAGAAUGAACCGGCGAGUUAUGAUCCCGUGCAAGGUUAAGACUAAAAAGUCGGAGCCGUAGCGAAAGCGAGUCUGAAAUGGGCGUUUUGAGUACGAGGUUAUAGACCCGAAACCAGGUGACCUAUCCAUGUCCAGGUUGAAGGUGCGGUAAAACGCACUGGAGGACCGAACCCGUGUAAGUUGAAAAUUGCUGGGAUGAGGUGUGGAUAGCGGUGAAAUUCCAAACGAACUUGGAGAUAGCUGGUUCUCUCCGAAAUAGCUUUAGGGCUAGCCUCGGAAUUAGGAUCAUGGAGGUAGAGCACUAUUUGGACUAGGGGCCCGUCUUGGGUUACUGAAUUCAGAUAAACUCCGAAUGCCAUUGAUUCAUAUCCGGGAGUCAGACGAUGAGUGAUAAGAUCCACCGUCGAAAGGGGAACAGCCCAGACCAUCAGUUAAGGUCCCUAAAUGUAUGCUAAGUGGAAAAGGAUGUGGAGUUGCAUAGACAACUAGGAUGUUGGCUCAGAAGCAGCCACCAUUUAAAGAGUGCGUAAUAGCUCACUAGUCGAGUGAUCCUGCGCCGAAAAUGUACCGGGGCUAAGCAUACUACCGAAACCAUGGAUGCGACCAUUAGGUCGCGUGAUAGGAGAGCGUUCUAAGGGCGGUGAAGCAAGAUCGUGAGGACUUGUGGAGCGCUUAGAAGUGAGAAUGCCGGUAUGAGUAGCGAAAGAUAGGUGAGAAUCCUAUCCACCGAAUGACUAAGGUUUCCUGGGGAAGGCUCGUCCUCCCAGGGUUAGUCGGGACCUAAGUCGAGGCCGAGAGGCGUAGACGAUGGAUAACAGGUUGAGAUUCCUGUACUAGUUAAGUGCGUUUGAGCAAUGGAGGGACGCAGGAGGCUAAGAUGUGCAUUCUGUUGGAUUAGAAUGUCCAAGCAGUAAGUCUUGUGAAGAGUCAAAUGCUUUUCACUUUAAGGACAAGCUGUGAUGGGGAGCGAAAUUUAGUAGCGAAGCGUCUGAUGUCACACUGCCGAGAAAAGCUUCUAGUGAGUACUUAACUACCCGUACCGCAAACCGACACAGGUAGUCGAGGAGAGAAUCCUAAGGUGAGCGAGUGAACUCUCGUUAAGGAACUCGGCAAAAUGACCCCGUAACUUCGGGAGAAGGGGUGCUGAUCACAAGAUCAGCCGCAGUGAAUAGGCCCAGGCGACUGUUUAUCAAAAACACAGGUCUCUGCAAAAUCGUAAGAUGACGUAUAGGGGCUGACGCCUGCCCGGUGCUGGAAGGUUAAAAGGAUGGGUUAGCUUCGGCGAAGCUCAGAAUUGAAGCCCCAGUAAACGGCGGCCGUAACUAUAACGGUCCUAAGGUAGCGAAAUUCCUUGUCGGGUAAGUUCCGACCCGCACGAAAGGCGUAACGAUCUGGGCACUGUCUCAACGAGAGACUCGGUGAAAUUAUAUUGUCCGUGAAGAUGCGGACUACCCGCGACAGGACGGAAAGACCCCAUGGAGCUUUACUGUAGCUUGAUAUUGAGUGUUUGUACAGCUUGUACAGGAUAGGUAGGAGCCAUAGAAACCGGAACGCUAGUUUCGGUGGAGGCGUUGGUGGGAUACUACCCUCGCUGUAUGACCACUCUAACCCGCACCACUAAUCGUGGUGGGAGACAGUGUCAGGUGGGCAGUUUGACUGGGGCGGUCGCCUCCUAAAAAGUAACGGAGGCGCCCAAAGGUUCCCUCAGAAUGGUUGGAAAUCAUUCGCAGAGUGUAAAGGCACAAGGGAGCUUGACUGCGAGACAGACAGGUCGAGCAGGGACGAAAGUCGGGCUUAGUGAUCCGGUGGUACCGUAUGGAAGGGCCAUCGCUCAACGGAUAAAAGCUACCCUGGGGAUAACAGGCUUAUCUCCCCCAAGAGUCCACAUCGACGGGGAGGUUUGGCACCUCGAUGUCGGCUCAUCGCAUCCUGGGGCUGUAGUCGGUCCCAAGGGUUGGGCUGUUCGCCCAUUAAAGCGGUACGCGAGCUGGGUUCAGAACGUCGUGAGACAGUUCGGUCCCUAUCCGUCGCGGGCGUAGGAAAUUUGAGAGGACCUGUCCUUAGUACGAGAGGACCGGGAUGGACAUACCUCUGGUGUACCAGUUGUGCCGCCAGGCGCAUCGCUGGGUAGCUACGUAUGGAUGUGAUAAACGCUGAAAGCAUCUAAGUGUGAAACACACCUCGAGAUGAGAUUUCCCAUUCCUUUAUGGAAGUAAGACCCCUGAAAGAUGAUCAGGUAGAUAGGUUAGAAGUGGCAGUGCGGUGACGCAUGAAGCGGACUAAUACUAAUCGGUCGAGGACUUAACCAA